This 75-nucleotide small RNA is filed under the name Xanthomonas oryzae. Its description in RNAcentral is "sX9 sRNA". It matches the Rfam family "Xanthomonas sRNA sX9". The record is from RNAcentral. Lineage: Bacteria; Pseudomonadati; Pseudomonadota; Gammaproteobacteria; Lysobacterales; Lysobacteraceae.
AUGUACCCCUGUGCACUCUGGCUACUGUGCGCCGCCUACGCCCGCUUGACGACGGCUCGCGACGUCUUGUUAGCC